GACGAACGCUGGCGGCGUGCUUAACACAUGCAAGUCGAACGGAAAGGCCCUGCUUUUGUGGGGUGCUCGAGUGGCGAACGGGUGAGUAACACGUGAGUAACCUGCCCUUGACUUUGGGAUAACUUCAGGAAACUGGGGCUAAUACCGGAUAGGAGCUCCUGCUGCAGGGUGGGGGUUGGAAAGUUUCGGCGGUUGGGGAUGGACUCGCGGCUUAUCAGCUUGUUGGUGGGGUAGUGGCUUACCAAGGCUUUGACGGGUAGCCGGCCUGAGAGGGUGACCGGCCACAUUGGGACUGAGAUACGGCCCAGACUCCUACGGGAGGCAGCAGUGGGGAAUAGUGCACAAUGGGCGGAAGCCUGAUGCAGCAACGCCGCGUGCGGGAUGACGGCCUUCGGGUUGUAAACCGCUUUCGCCUGUGACGAAGCGUGAGUGACGGUAAUGGGUAAAGAAGCACCGGCUAACUACGUG
Molecule: ribosomal RNA, 468 nt
Filed under: uncultured bacterium
Lineage: Bacteria
Description: partial 16S ribosomal RNA
Rfam family: Bacterial small subunit ribosomal RNA
Source: RNAcentral